RNAcentral lists this ribosomal RNA (468 nucleotides) under uncultured bacterium. Its description in RNAcentral is "partial 16S ribosomal RNA". It matches the Rfam family "Bacterial small subunit ribosomal RNA", at positions 28 to 507 of the family's 1533-position model. The record is from RNAcentral.
GACGAACGCUGGCGGCGUGCUUAACACAUGCAAGUCGAACGGAAAGGCCCUGCUUUUGUGGGGUGCUCGAGUGGCGAACGGGUGAGUAACACGUGAGUAACCUGCCCUUGACUUUGGGAUAACUUCAGGAAACUGGGGCUAAUACCGGAUAGGAGCUCCUGCUGCAUGGUGGGGGUUGGAAAGUUUCGGCGGUUGGGGAUGGACUCGCGGCUUAUCAGCUUGUUGGUGGGGUAGUGGCUUACCAAGGCUUUGACGGGUAGCCGGCCUGAGAGGGUGACCGGCCACAUUGGGACUGAGAUACGGACCAGACGGCUACGGGAGGCAGCAGUGGGGAAUAUUGCACAAUGGGCGGAAGCCUGAUGCAGCAACGCCGCGUGCGGGAUGACGGCCUUCGGGUUGUAAACCGCUUUCGCCUGUGACGAAGCGUGAGUGACGGUAAUGGGUAAAGAAGCACCGGCUAACUACGUG